AUGGGUCACUAUAGCGCACUAUGGGUCUCUGUGGGUCUCUGUGGGUCGCUAUGGGGCACUAUGGGUCUCUGUGGGUCACUAUGGGGAGCUAUGGGUCUCUGUGUGUCGCUAUGGGGCGCUGUGGGUCUCUAUAGGUCUCUAUGGGGCACUAUGGGGCGCUAUGGGUCUCUAUGGGGCGCUAUGGGGCACUAUGGGUCUCUAUGGGUCUCUGUGGUUCUCUAUGGGGCACUAUGGGUUUCUAUGGGUCUCUGUGGGUCGCUAUGGGGCCCUGGGGGUCGCUAUGGGGCACAACGGGUCGCUAUGGGGCACAAUGGGUCGCUAUGGGGCACUAUGGGGCACUAUGGGUCUCUAUGGGUCUCUGUGUAUCGCUAUGGGUCUCUGUGUGUCGCUAUGGGGCACUAUGGGUCUCUAUGGGUCUCUAUGAGGACCUGUGGGUCUCUAUGGGUCACUAUGGGGAGCUAUGGGUCUCUGUGUGUCGCUAUGGGGCGCUGUGGGUCUCUAUGGGUCGCUAUGGGGCACUAUGGGGCACAAUGGGUCGCUAUGGGGCACUAUGGGGCACUAUGGGGCACUAUGUGUUUCUAUGGGUCUCUAUGGGUCCCUAUGGUUCUCUAUGGGAUCUCUGUGGGUCUCUGUGGGUCACUAUGGGUCGCUGUGGGUCUCUAUGGGUCCCUAUGGGUCACUAUGGUUCCCUAUGGGUCGCUAUGUGUCUCUAUGGGUCCCUAUGGAUCUCUAUGGGUCUCAAUGGGUCGCUGUGGGUCCCUAUGGGGCAAUAUGGAUCUCUAUGUGUCUCUAUGGGUCUCUAUGGGUCUCUAUGGGUCUCAGUGGGUCACUGUGGGUCUCAGUGGGUCGCUGUGGUUCUCUAUGGGUUGCUGUGGGUCGCAGUGGGUCGCUAUGGGUCUCUAUGGGUCGCUAUGGGUCCCUAUGGGUCUCUUUGGGAUCUCUGUGGGUCUCUAUGGGUCGCUAUGGGUCUCUAUGGUUCCCUAUGGGUCGCUAUGGGUUGCUAUGGGUCUCUGUGGUUCUCUAUGGGUCCCUAUGGUUCUCUAUGGGAUCUCUGUGGGUCUCUGUGGGUCACUAUGGGUCUCUGUGGGUCUCUAUGGGUCUCUAUGGAAUCUCUAUGGGUCACUAUGGAUCUCUAUGGCUCCCUAUGGGUCGCUAUGGGUCACUGUGGGUCUCUAUGGUUCCCUAUGGGUCGCUAUGGGUCCCUAUAGGUCUCUAUGGGUCUCUGUGGUUCUCUAUGGGGCACUAUGGGUUUCCGUGGGUCUCUAUGGGUCUCUAUGGUUCUCUAUGGGUCUCAGUGGGUCUCAGUGGGUCUCAGUGGGUCUCAGUGGGUCGCAGUGGGUCGCAGUGGGUCGUGGUGGGGCCCGGCGCUGACGCGGCGCUGACGCGGUUUCCUGCAGGUCGCCAUUGCGGCGCCGCCGCCAUCGCCCCACG
Molecule: long non-coding RNA, 1431 nt
Filed under: Numida meleagris (helmeted guineafowl)
Lineage: Eukaryota; Metazoa; Chordata; Aves; Galliformes; Numididae
Description: lncRNA (ENSNMEG00000006320.1)
Source: RNAcentral